RNAcentral lists this long non-coding RNA (216 nucleotides) under Linum usitatissimum (flax). Its description in RNAcentral is "long non-coding RNA (LUSI_LNC007248)". The record is from RNAcentral. Lineage: Eukaryota; Viridiplantae; Streptophyta; Magnoliopsida; Malpighiales; Linaceae.
GCUUUCCCCGCUUACUUCAGUGAAAUGAAUAAGAGGAUGAUUGUGGUACCCCUUCGCCCGGUCAGGGUUCUUUACGUCUCCGACUCCGUCAAUAAAAUACUUCCACUCGCAAUCUACCACCUUUGAUCGGACGGCAAGCCUGAAUGGACAAUUACACUUCUUUGACUUCGUAGUACGUUUCGGCGGAGUGGAACCCUCAGACUUGCGAGCUGGUCC